This 73-nucleotide transfer RNA is filed under the name Parachlamydiaceae bacterium. Its description in RNAcentral is "tRNA-Arg". It matches the Rfam family "tRNA". From Rfam's summary of the family: Transfer RNA (tRNA) molecules are approximately 80 nucleotides in length. Lineage: Bacteria; Pseudomonadati; Chlamydiota; Chlamydiia; Parachlamydiales; Parachlamydiaceae. RNAcentral also lists the same sequence under 1 other name. The record is from RNAcentral.
GGACUGAUAGCUCAGUGGAUAGAGCACCCGCCUUCUAAGCGGGUGGUCGCAGGUUCGAAUCCUGCUCAGUCCA